RNAcentral lists this small RNA (966 nucleotides) under Cryptococcus neoformans H99. RNAcentral describes it as "Cryptococcus neoformans var. grubii H99 hypothetical RNA". The record is from RNAcentral. Lineage: Eukaryota; Fungi; Basidiomycota; Tremellomycetes; Tremellales; Cryptococcaceae.
AUUACCUCAACCUAUCUAUGGCGCCACGACAGUUCCGUCCUCUUUGAUUCUUUUCACUAUUCUUGCAGGGUUUCCUGCCACCACACAUCUAUUGGGUACAUCCUUCGUCACAACAGAGCCAGCGCCUACAGUGACCCCGUCCCCGAUGGUUACACCAGGCACAAUGAUGACACCUCCACCUAACCAACAAUCUUUGCCGAUGGUGAUAGGUUUAGCCCAUUCAGGUCCGGUAAGGCCAUUCCGUUCUUCUGGGGAUAAAGGGUGUGCGGGUGUGUACAAUUGACAGUUAGGGCCGAUCAUGGUGCGGUCACCGAUAGUUACUAGAUAUAAAGGUUCAAUUAGUAAACACAGCCCAAUUAUACAAAUAUGAGGAUAGCUCAGCAAUUUACUAGGGCAGACGUCAAAGAACUGGCAGUUAUGGCCGACAUAGAUAUCUCGACCGAAAGUGAUUGUGGAGCCCUAAAUUCAUUUGGUAAAAGGAAUAUUGAUUAUAACAUUUCCCUCUUCUCCGCCCCUCAGAUUGACAAGAUCUGCGUACAACUUCAUUCUCUCCUCCAUUGAUCUGGUCUGAUUGAUCUGACAAAGCUUCUCUGCCUGUUCGUCCCGGAUUCGGCAGAGGUAUUUGUCCAUUGCGAGGUAAGGCUUGCCGGCCACCAUGAGCUCGAAUUGGGUGGUGUCUUCGCCCUCGACUGGGGUAGGAGGUUUAACUUUGGAGAAGAGGACGUCAAUUGAGGACAUAUUGGCGAAUGAAGAAGGCGAUAGAUCCGAUGGAGAGCAAUCUCCGAUAGGCGUUACAUGCUGUUUAUAUAUGAUCUUGACCGCACAGAUUAGAAUGCGUAUAUCGCGUUUACAUCUGCGACAACGAACGGCGCGAUUGUCAGGAAAGUUCAGGCACUACGAACAUCUACAUAAAACUCGGUGACAUGGGGAGCUAUAUGAUGGGAUCUUCUAUUUUAUGUGGCGGAU